This 2143-nucleotide ribosomal RNA is filed under the name Xanthomonas euvesicatoria. RNAcentral's name for it is "bacterial LSU rRNA". It matches the Rfam family "Bacterial large subunit ribosomal RNA", at positions 1 to 2183 of the family's 2925-position model. The record is from RNAcentral. Lineage: Bacteria; Pseudomonadati; Pseudomonadota; Gammaproteobacteria; Lysobacterales; Lysobacteraceae.
GUUAUAUGGUCAAGCGAAUAAGCGCACACGGUGGAUGCCUAGGCGGUCAGAGGCGAUGAAGGACGUGGUAGCCUGCGAAAAGUGUCGGGGAGUUGGCAACAAGCUUUGAUCCGGCAAUAUCCGAAUGGGGAAACCCACUGCUUCGGCAGUAUCCUGCAGUGAAUUCAUAGCUGCUGGAAGCGAACCCGGUGAACUGAAAUAUCUAAGUAACCGGAGGAAAAGAAAUCAACCGAGAUUCCCUAAGUAGUGACGAGCGAACGGGGAGCAGCCCUUAAGCUGGAAUGGCUUUAGAAAAACAAUCUGGAAAGAUUGGCCAUAGAAGGUGAUAGCCCUGUAUUUAAAAGGGCCACUCCAGUGAAGACGAGUAGGGCGGGGCACGUGAAACCCUGUCUGAAUAUGGGGGGACCAUCCUCCAAGGCUAAAUACUCCUGACCGACCGAUAGUGAACCAGUACCGUGAGGGAAAGGCGAAAAGAACCCCGGAGAGGGGAGUGAAAUAGAUCCUGAAACCGUGUGCGUACAAGCAGUAGGAGCUCGCAAGAGUGACUGCGUACCUUUUGUAUAAUGGGUCAGCGACUUACUGUUCGUGGCAAGCUUAACCGUAUAGGGGAGGCGAAGGGAAACCGAGUCUGAUAAGGGCGCAUAGUCGCGGGCAGUAGACCCGAAACCGGGUGAUCUAGUCAUGGCCAGGGUGAAGGUGCCGUAACAGGUACUGGAGGCCCGAACCCACGUCUGUUGCAAAAGACGGGGAUGAGCUGUGAUUAGGAGUGAAAAGCUAAUCGAACCCGGAGAUAGCUGGUUCUCCUCGAAAGCUAUUUAGGUAGCGCCUCAUAUGUAUCCUCUCGGGGGUAGAGCACUGUUAUGGCUAGGGGGUCAUCGCGACUUACCAAACCAUUGCAAACUCCGAAUACCGAGACGGACUGUAUGGGAGACACACGGCGGGUGCUAACGUCCGUCGUGAAAAGGGAAACAACCCAGACCCACAGCUAAGGUCCCAAAUUCACUGCUAAGUGGAAAACGAUGUGGAAAGGCAUAGACAGCCAGGAGGUUGGCUUAGAAGCAGCCACCCUUUAAAGAAAGCGUAAUAGCUCACUGGUCGAGUCGGUCUGCGCGGAAGAUUUAACGGGGCUAAGCAGUGAACCGAAGCUUGGGGUGCAUAAAACUUGUUUUAUGCGCGGUAGAGGAGCGUUCCGUAAGCCUGCGAAGGUGGAUUGAGAAGUCUGCUGGAGGUAUCGGAAGUGCGAAUGCUGACAUGAGUAACGAUAAUGCGGGUGAAAAGCCCGCACGCCGAAAGCCCAAGGUUUCCUUGCGCAACGUUAAUCGACGCAGGGUUAGUCGGUCCCUAAGGCGAGGGCGAAAGCCGUAGUCGAUGGGAAGCAGGUUAAUAUUCCUGCACCUCGCGUGAGUGCGAUGGAGGGACGGAGAAGGUUAGGUGUACCGGGCGUUGGUUGUCCCGGGGAAAGGCGGUAGGUUUGGAUCUUUGGCAAAUCCGGGAUCCUUUAAGACCGAGCACCGAGACGAGCCUUUAUGGCGAAGUCACUGAUACCACGCUUCCAGGAAAAGCUCCUAAGCUUCAGCUCACGAAGACCGUACCGUAAACCGACACAGGUGGGUAGGAUGAGAAUUCUCAGGCGCUUGAGAGAACUCGGGUGAAGGAACUAGGCAACAUGGCACCGUAACUUCGGGAGAAGGUGCACCCUUUUUGGUGGCUCGUGCGAGCUAUAGCUGAAGAGGGUCGCAGAAACCAGGCCGCUGCGACUGUUUAUCAAAAACACAGCACUCUGCAAACACGAAAGUGGACGUAUAGGGUGUGACGCCUGCCCGGUGCUGGAAGGUUAAUUGAUGGGGUCAGCCGCAAGGCGAAGCUCUUGAUCGAAGCCCCAGUAAACGGCGGCCGUAACUAUAACGGUCCUAAGGUAGCGAAAUUCCUUGUCGGGUAAGUUCCGACCUGCACGAAUGGCGUAACGACAGCGGCGCUGUCUCCACCCGAGACUCAGUGAAAUUGAAAUCGCUGUGAAGAUGCAGCGUUCCCGUGGCAAGACGGAAAGACCCCGUGAACCUUUACUAUAGCUUUACACUGAACGUUGAGUUCGUCUGUGUAGGAUAGGUGGGAGGCUAUGAAACUGUGGCGCUAGCUGCAGUGG